GUUACUGAUUGCACAAGGUUGGAAUUCCUGUUGGUAAUUAUAAGGCAUUUGAUUUGAUUAAGCUAGUUACUUGCUAUUGAUUGCUGGUUAAUUAGCUAUUGUUUGCAAAUAAGCAGAGGCCUACCCAGGUGUUAAACAUUCCUAGUGGGUGGUGAUUUUAGGAGUUAUAUAAGGCUUGGCGUCAUUAGCUUGUCUAAUAUAGCUUGGUGCUACUUCUAAGUGCUGUUUCUAAGUGUGUAGUUGGAGAUAUUCUGGAGGUAAUCUGAGGUAUUCAGGAGGAUAAAUAUAAAGUUAAGAUUUGUUAGUUUUAAAUUAUUCUCCUAAUUGGAAUGGCAGAC
This is a non-coding RNA of Pelobates cultripes (western spadefoot toad), 338 nucleotides long. The record is from the annotation of a GenBank genome assembly. Lineage: Eukaryota; Metazoa; Chordata; Amphibia; Anura; Pelobatidae.